UCCACAUGUGUUCCUCUGCAGAAAUCAGUUUAGUGACAUGGCCUUUCCCUUCUUCUGUGAAGCCCUUCUGCAUGCUCUGUGCAAUGGGCAGUGACUUAGAGGGUGCUCAGAAGCCUGAUACUGUUGCUGCUUUUGCCUUUAUGAACCUCAUGGGAAUGAGGCAAGUGGAUAUUUGCCCUGCAAUGGCAGAAAGAGGGCUCUGGCAAGGUCUACUCUGUACAGAGAUCUUUGGAGACAGCAUAAGGGGAUAGAAACUAAGGGCAUGAUUCUUCUUGUAAUGGAAAGUGGAUCCAGAAAGGAGAAGAAGAAGAGAAGAGACAGAAACUAUGUGACCACCUUCAGUGUGGAGAUCCAGUCCCCCCAGAGUGAUGGUAUCUGCAACAGAGGAUGAUUUUCUCUCAGAAAUUUUUGAGAGAUUUUGCAGCAGUUUCAGUAAGAGUUAUCUGCCAGAUUGUAAGGUUUAUUUUACGCUAUAAAGUUCAUCUGAGAAAUGAAAAACAACACAGAUUUGCUUUCACUUCAUUUUUCCUUUUCAUCCUCUUCUCAGCCAAGCAUGAACCUCAUCCUCUCUCUUUGUUUCUCACAAAAGGGUUGGAGCUGGUUUCCAGCAAUUAUUCUGAAGCAAAGCAGAUCAGCAUAGCAAAGUUAAAGCAAUAAAAAUAACAGUACAGACAGGAAAAAAUAUUGCAUGAUGGAUUCUGAUCUCCUGUGCUUCAGCAUUAAUCACAGUAUUGAUUUUAACAGGAAUGACUUCUCAGCAUACUGACUGUAGUUGCUUUUUGUUCUUUUUAUUUUACUGCGGCUGAUUAGUAUCUGUCCUUCUGUGUCCAGUGUGGAACCAUCCUCUGGAGAGAGUGCUUUCAGAAAUACUUUUAUUUUUUUCUCAGUUAAAAUAAUUACUUGAAGAGAUAAGAUGACUCAGCUGGAGUUAUUAGGGCUGGUGUUCUGUUUGGAUUAUUGGAUUAUUACAGAAAAUUAAAAAAAAAAAAAAAAAAAGAGAGAAACUGAUUUUGUUAAGAUGCCUGUUGCACUGCAUGCCCAUAAACUGUAGAUGUUUUUAGUUUAAACCAUUUUGAAAAACAUUCGCAGCAAAAUAUUGGGUUGUGGUACAUGUACUCCUGAACAGUGAGAAAGCUGCAUGAUAAAAACAAUGCACUAACAGGUCUGAAGGUAGAACUAAGACCUGGAGUUGAUGAACUGAGUAAUUCUGUGUGAUUAGCACAUGCCACAGUAAGAUUAUUUGAGUUACUCUAUUUUACUGCACAUUUAAUUUAUAUUUCUAUGGAUUAAAUUAAAUCUUCUACUAUCAACACUGUCGUACUUAUCUUUCUGCUACAUGUAAACGUGCAAAUGUAGAUGCACAGUAUGAACACGUGCAUCUCCCAACAUAACACUACAUUUCUUCUCUUUGGUGUCCUGUUAAUCUGUCUCUGCACAGCUACGUCUUUGACCAGACAAUUUCCUGGAAAGAGAACAUUUUCCUUUCCCUCAGUAGCAAAGUCUCUUUUCUGUUCAUUCAUGAUUCUUGUUAAGACUUCUUUUUUUUCUCUGGAAGGAUCUUUCUAAGAAAUAUCAGCCUCAUUUAUUACUAACUUCAGUGGCACUGCUGAGAAAUUAGAUCGUUCAAAACCUUUAUAUUUGAGAUGCUCUUGAAUACUUAAAUGCUGCUAUCCAGAGGUCUAGUUGCAUCUCUAUGUCCCUGGUAUUUCUUCAUUCCCUGCACCUUCUUGCCUUGUGGCAGUACAGGUAUUCACUGAUCCAAAGAUACAGGUAUUCACCACUCCAAAGGAGUGGACUCCUUUGGGAUAGGGGGAUGGCAAAGGCUGGGGGAGGCAGUACAUUGUGUUGCAGGUAUGAGAUGUUUCUGUGGACCUAUUGAUGUACAUCAGACGAAGUGUGUGCGAAAAGGCUCUUAAACCCAAAAAAUAACCAAGGGUAGACUGUUGCUUGCACACAGAGCCCAUGCAUCAGUGGGAACUGGGAGAGCUGGGAGAGCAAGUGCAGCCAGCUUGGUGCUACCAGCAUACUUGCAGCACUACUACCUCUUAUUUUAACAUUUACGUCUCCAUGUUUAGCACUGAAGAUGACUAUGAAAGUGAAAAUUCUUUAUAUACAAACAAGCUGAAACCUCACAUUCCUUUACUAUAAGAAUGACUCCAACUAGCUAUAGAGCUGUACUUCAGUGCAAUGUAUUUUCUCAUUAUUAAAGCUGCCUAUCUUUUUUAGCUCUUCUACUGCCUAAUCACCAUUCUAAAUAUGCCUGCAAAUGUAUCUUGGCUUCCUUGGACUGGUACUUUAACCUCUGGAAAACUAUUUUUCUUGAACUAAUGUGCAAUUUUCAUUCAAUCAGGGGUGUCUGGGCUUGACUUUGUAACCUCUUGAAUGCAAUAAAAUCACUAGAGUAAUGCUUAAUGACACACAGGGUUGAAAAUAUAUUUUAAGAAUUUCAAGGCUGUUACUUUCUCAAUUUCAAAUUUAUCAGACAAUUAAAAAAAUAAUUAAAUAUUCAGUCUCCGUACAACUUAACAGAGAUGCUGGGUCUACUUAACAGACUUUAUUAGGCUCAUGGGUCAAAAUUAAUUUGUUAAAACUACUUAAUGCAAGAGAUACUGUCCUGUAUUACAUCUAUUUAGUGCUAGCAUACAAAGAAGCCCUAUACCAGAUUUCUAAUUCAAUGCUCACCAGUCUUUAGAACGUUGUUUCAAUCCAUUUUACUGAGUAAAUUUGACUGUGGCAAAAUCAAAUAACAAAGACAAAUUAGUUGCAUCUUCUGUUAAUCAUUGAUUAUAAAUUAGACAUGCUAGCUCAACUGAAAUGUCUCUGAGGAUGUGAAUAUUAGAGUUAAUUGUUUAAUUUAGAAAAGAGCUAGAAAGUUUGUUUCCAUUUGUACUGCUUGUAAUCCUUUGAGAUUAACAUAUUUGGACUCUUUACUUGAUAAGUGACAGUCUUUCAAAUACUGAGUUUUUUAGAUGGACCACUGUUUAAAGAGUAAAUGAUACCUGGACAGCAAAAGUAUUUGUUUCAUUGUAAUGUUGACUCUCAUUUGUUGAUGUGUUUUCCUUGAUCAUACUCCUUAUACGGAAAGAUUACACAAUUUAUCAAUAUUUGUAGAGCUAUUUAGUAGGACCUAAUUCAAGUAAUUAAGUACAAGCUAAAGUCCAAUCAAGUCAAAUUUAUUAAAAUUAAGCUUUAGUUUAAGAAAUUUCAUAGAAAAGCAGAAUGAUUCACAAAUCAUCAGCCAACAGAGAACUACUUAAGCUUAAAUACUGUUUAAAGAUAUUCCAAUCAUUUUUUUCAAUCAUCUUGAAAGCUGUGUAAAGGAAAGUUAUCCUUUAAUUUUUUGUCAGUAUAAUGCCUAGCACAAUGGAAAUCAAGUUUUUGGUUUAUAGUCCUGGG
Molecule: long non-coding RNA, 3396 nt
Organism: Anas platyrhynchos (mallard)
Lineage: Eukaryota; Metazoa; Chordata; Aves; Anseriformes; Anatidae
Source: RefSeq, a predicted model, not a curated record